RNAcentral lists this ribosomal RNA (730 nucleotides) under uncultured bacterium. RNAcentral's name for it is "bacterial SSU rRNA". It matches the Rfam family "Bacterial small subunit ribosomal RNA", at positions 771 to 1501 of the family's 1533-position model. The record is from RNAcentral.
AACAGGAUUAGAUACCCUGGUAGUCCACGCCGUAAACGAUGUCGACUUGGAGGUUGUGCCCUUGAGGCGUGGCUUCCGGAGCUAACGCGUUAAGUCGACCGCCUGGGGAGUACGGCCGCAAGGUUAAAACUCAAAUGAAUUGACGGGGGCCCGCACAAGCGGUGGAGCAUGUGGUUUAAUUCGAUGCAACGCGAAGAACCUUACCUACUCUUGACAUCCAGAGAACUUAGCAGAGAUGCUUUGGUGCCUUCGGGAACUCUGAGACAGGUGCUGCAUGGCUGUCGUCAGCUCGUGUUGUGAAAUGUUGGGUUAAGUCCCGCAACGAGCGCAACCCUUAUCCUUUGUUGCCAGCGGUUCGGCCGGGAACUCAAAGGAGACUGCCAGUGAUAAACUGGAGGAAGGUGGGGAUGACGUCAAGUCAUCAUGGCCCUUACGAGUAGGGCUACACACGUGCUACAAUGGCAUAUACAAAGAGAAGCGACCUCGCGAGAGCAAGCGGACCUCAUAAAGUAUGUCGUAGUCCGGAUUGGAGUCUGCAACUCGACUCCAUGAAGUCGGAAUCGCUAGUAAUCGUGGAUCAGAAUGCCACGGUGAAUGCGUUCCCGGGCCUUGUACACACCGCCCGUCACACCACGGGAGUGGGUUGCAAAAGAAGUAGGUAGCUUAACCUUCGGGAGGGCGCUUACCACUUUGUGAUUCAUGACUGGGGUGAAGUCGUAACAAGGUAACC